GGGUUGUGAGGUUAAGCGACUAAGCGUACACGGUGGAUGCCCUGGCAGUCAGAGGCGAUGAAGGACGUGCUAAUCUGCGAUAAGCGUCGGUAAGGUGAUAUGAACCAUUAUAACCGGCGAUUUCCGAAUGGGGAAACCCAGUGUGAUUCGUCACACUAUCAUUAACUGAAUCCAUAGGUUAAUGAGGCGAACCGGGGGAACUGAAACAUCUAAGUACCCCGAGGAAAAGAAAUCAACCGAGAUUCCCCCAGUAGCGGCGAGCGAACGGGGAGCAGCCCAGAGCCUGAAUCAGUGUGUGUGUUAGUGGAAGCGUCUGGAAAGGCGUGCGAUACAGGGUGACAGCCCCGUACACAAAAAUGCACAUAUUGUGAGCUCGAUGAGUAGGGCGGGACACGUGGUAUCCUGUCUGAAUAUGGGGGGACCAUCCUCCAAGGCUAAAUACUCCUGACUGACCGAUAGUGAACCAGUACCGUGAGGGAAAGGCGAAAAGAACCCCGGCGAGGGGAGUGAAAAAGAACCUGAAACCGUGUACGUACAAGCAGUGGGAGCACGCUUAGGCGUGUGACUGCGUACCUUUUGUAUAAUGGGUCAGCGACUUAUAUUCUGUAGCAAGGUUAACCGAAUAGGGGAGCCGAAGGGAAACCGAGUCUUAACUGGGCGUUAAGUUGCAGGGUAUAGACCCGAAACCCGGUGAUCUAGCCAUGGGCAGGUUGAAGGUUGGGUAACACUAACUGGAGGACCGAACCGACUAAUGUUGAAAAAUUAGCGGAUGACUUGUGGCUGGGGGUGAAAGGCCAAUCAAACCGGGAGAUAGCUGGUUCUCCCCGAAAGCUAUUUAGGUAGCGCCUCGUGAAUUCAUCUCCGGGGGUAGAGCACUGUUUCGGCAAGGGGGUCAUCCCGACUUACCAACCCGAUGCAAACUGCGAAUACCGGAGAAUGUUAUCACGGGAGACACACGGCGGGUGCUAACGUCCGUCGUGAAGAGGGAAACAACCCAGACCGCCAGCUAAGGUCCCAAAGUCAUGGUUAAGUGGGAAACGAUGUGGGAAGGCCCAGACAGCCAGGAUGUUGGCUUAGAAGCAGCCAUCAUUUAAAGAAAGCGUAAUAGCUCACUGGUCGAGUCGGCCUGCGCGGAAGAUGUAACGGGGCUAAACCAUGCACCGAAGCUGCGGCAGCGACGCUGAUGCGUUGUUGGGUAGGGGAGCGUUCUGUAAGCCUGUGAAGGUGUGCUGUGAGGUAUGCUGGAGGUAUCAGAAGUGCGAAUGCUGACAUAAGUAACGAUAAAGCGGGUGAAAAGCCCGCUCGCCGGAAGACCAAGGGUUCCUGUCCAACGUUAAUCGGGGCAGGGUGAGUCGACCCCUAAGGCGAGGCCGAAAGGCGUAGUCGAUGGGAAACAGGUUAAUAUUCCUGUACUUGGUGUUACUGCGAAGGGGGGACGGAGAAGGCUAUGUUGGCCGGGCGACGGUUGUCCCGGUUUAAGCGUGUAGGCUGGUUUUCCAGGCAAAUCCGGAAAACUAAGGCUGAGGCGUGAUGACGAGGCACUACGGUGCUGAAGCAACAAAUGCCCUGCUUCCAGGAAAAGCCUCUAAGCAUCAGGUAACAUCAAAUCGUACCCCAAACCGACACAGGUGGUCAGGUAGAGAAUACCAAGGCGCUUGAGAGAACUCGGGUGAAGGAACUAGGCAAAAUGGUGCCGUAACUUCGGGAGAAGGCACGCUGAUAUGUAGGUGAAGUCCCUCGCGGAUGGAGCUGAAAUCAGUCGAAGAUACCAGCUGGCUGCAACUGUUUAUUAAAAACACAGCACUGUGCAAACACGA
RNAcentral lists this ribosomal RNA (1817 nucleotides) under Shigella flexneri. RNAcentral's name for it is "partial 23S ribosomal RNA". It matches the Rfam family "Bacterial large subunit ribosomal RNA", at positions 1 to 1834 of the family's 2925-position model. Lineage: Bacteria; Pseudomonadati; Pseudomonadota; Gammaproteobacteria; Enterobacterales; Enterobacteriaceae. The record is from RNAcentral.